This 73-nucleotide non-coding RNA is filed under the name uncultured Legionella sp. The record is from RNAcentral. Lineage: Bacteria; Pseudomonadati; Pseudomonadota; Gammaproteobacteria; Legionellales; Legionellaceae.
UGAGCCGUGUGCAGGGAAACUUGCAUGCACGGUUCUUAGGAGAGUGGUGAUUGGCAACAAUCGCCACUUAUCC